Molecule: transfer RNA, 90 nt
Filed under: Lachnellula suecica
Lineage: Eukaryota; Fungi; Ascomycota; Leotiomycetes; Helotiales; Lachnaceae
Description: tRNA-Phe
Source: RNAcentral
GCACCAAUAGCUCAGUUGGGAGAGCGUACGACUGAAGUUUACUUCAGCCCAAAAAUCGUAAGGCCCUGCGUUCAAUCCGCAGUUGGUGCA